GAAAUCCAAAAUGCUCUAAAGUGCAAAACUUUUUGGGCAUCAACAUGACUUUUAAAAGAAAUGCUCAUUGGAGCAUUUUGAAUUUCAAAUUUUCAGAUUAGUGAUGCUCAGCUAGUAAUAUUACUGUAAAUAUUCCAAAAUCUGAAAAAGUCUGAAACAUCUCUGGUCUCAAGCAUUUCAGAUAAGGGACACUCGAUCUACCAACAAAGGAGAGAGCCCCUUGAAGAGGGCACUCUGAAUCACUCUUCUGGUGAAGAUCUCUGGGAGUUACAUGCAAGCGGUGGGCCUGGGCCCAUUUCCACAUCCCACAAAGAGUGCAUUUACUUUGUGUAUCCAGAAGAGCAAAACUCCCAACUCUACUGCUUUGUUUUCAAACGGACAGCCAAGCAUUCGAUGUCUUCAGCUUCACUCUCUACUUUGUGCUUGGGUUCCAUUUCUGGUUCAUAUAGUCAAGGUUUAUUGAGCACAAUAUGAUGGUGUAGGCAUCUUUGGAGAUAUGCUAUCUGCAGGUUCAGCUUUGGAGAUUCAGAAGUGACAUGCACAUGCCUCUGACACUCUCAUGGAGUUCACAGUUGGAGAUAGAAUUAUCUGCCAAAGAGUGACCUCACAGUACUCAGAGGCACAACACUCUGGAGAGGAUGUCCUAAUGCAAUAAAGAAUUUUCAGAGAGCAAGUGACUGCUACAAUUCCAUGGGUAGAGAGGGCAAGAGAGGCUGCUUGUUAAUGCCAAACAGGAAAGUCAUCAAAAUUCUUUCUCUUCUGCCCUCCAGGGAAACAGCCCACUGCUAACCACCAAGUUUUGCAAGAUAUUCUUUUGUUUCUUGAAAAUUUAUUAUUCCCCCCAUCAGCAGCUCUAGCUGAAGUAAUCUCAAUUCUCUUAACCUUUCUUUAGAAGGUCUAUUUAAUCCAUUUUUAUUGCUCUCCUCUGAGCACUCACUAAGUUUGUUAGACUUUAUUCAAUCUUGAAUUGGACAAAGUACUUUAAUAAGGGUUGCCUCCCACUGCUCCAGGAACAGGCAAAGGUAAUGUCCUGAUGGGGCACUGGCAUAGGAUAUUGCAUGUGGAAGCACUUUUGGAACUCUUAAGCAGCCCCCAAAUGGAGCAGAUGAUGAUUAGACUGCACAUCUCAGACUGAGCUCCUCAUUCCCAAAAAGAAUGAAAAAGAAAUGAUUGUACCAUUUAUUCAUGUGUACCUUCAACAAAAAUGUAUUGUGCAAUCACUUUGUGCAAGAUACUGUACUAGGCACUUAGGAUAUAAUGAUAAAUAAGAUAUGGCCUCUAUUCAGUAGAAUAUAAAGGCAUUGGUAUACCCCCCCCAAAAAAAAUUUUUGAUUGUAGACCCAGAAAUAUUCCAGAUGUUUUUGCAUAUAUCAUGUCAUUCAAGCUUGUCAUAUAACAAGCCCAUUUGGAAGGUAUUUUUAUUCCUAGUACACAGAAGAAGAAACUGAAGCACACCUAUCUAGAGUUGUGCUAAAGAAAAACAAACAUAAAUUUAUUUAGCCAAAUUGGAGUUUUACUGCUCUGCCUUAUGUCUUCCUACCUGCUUGUAGGAUGACACCUGUGCCUAAAGCAUCUUCAAGCUACUUCCCACAGUGAAGGGCAUCCCCAACCCACAUUUCUCCACACUGUAGGGCAGGUCAGGGUUCCUCCCGCACCAUCCACUGAAAAAAGUUCUGGAACAGCUAAAUCUCUGCUUUCAACAUUCUGCUAACACUGCUGAUCUUCUUGCAGGUUAGGAAAUCCAGUGCCCUAAAGAAAUACAGACUUAGGCUAAAGAGCUGGAUCUCUGGCUUACACAGAUGUUCCUGAAACGUUGAGCAUGUUGUCUAACCUCUCUGUGUCUCAUUGUCCCCAUUUGUAAAAUUGAGACAAUUGUACCUA
This 1881-nucleotide long non-coding RNA is filed under the name Homo sapiens (human). Its description in RNAcentral is "HSALNT0166158". The record is from RNAcentral. Lineage: Eukaryota; Metazoa; Chordata; Mammalia; Primates; Hominidae.